CCUACGGGGGGCAGCAGUGGGGAAUAUUGGGCAAUGGACGCAAGUCUGACCCAGCAACGCCGCGUGAAGGAAGAAGGCUUUCGGGUUGUUAACUUCUUUUAAUGGGGAAGAGCAGAAGACGGUACCCCUUGAAUAAGCCACGGCUAACUACGUGCCAACAGCCGCGGUAAUACGUAGGUGGCAAGCGUUGUCCGGAUUUACUGGGUGUAAAGGGCGUGCAGCCGGGAAGACAAGUCAGAUGUGAAAUCCAGCGGCUCAACCGCCGAACAGCAUUUGAAACUGUUUUUCUAGAGUAACGGAGAGGUAAUCGGAAUUCGUGGUGUAGCGGUGAAAUGCGGAGAUAUUAGGCAGAACACCGGUGGCGAAGGCGGAUUACUGGACGACAACUGACGGUGAGGCGCGAAAGCGUGGGGAGCGAACAGGAUUAGAUACCCUAGUAGUC
RNAcentral lists this ribosomal RNA (442 nucleotides) under uncultured bacterium. RNAcentral describes it as "partial 16S ribosomal RNA". It matches the Rfam family "Bacterial small subunit ribosomal RNA", at positions 338 to 795 of the family's 1533-position model. The record is from RNAcentral.